Podarcis lilfordi (Lilford's wall lizard) is the source of this 79-nucleotide non-coding RNA. The record is from the annotation of a GenBank genome assembly. NCBI's taxonomy places the organism in Eukaryota, Metazoa, Chordata, Lepidosauria, Squamata, Lacertidae.
GGCAAGGUCCAUAGCUCAGGGGUAGAGCAUCUGCCUUGCAUGUGAAAGGUCCCUGGUUCGAUCCCCGACAGCCUCUCCA